AUACGGAGGGAGCAAGCGUUAUUCGGAAUCACUGGGCGUAAAGGACGCGUAGGCGGGUUUGUAAGUCAGGUGUGAAAUCCUACAGCUCAACUGUAGAACUGCACUUGAAACUACAGACCUAGAGUAUGUAAGGGGCAGAUGGAGUUAGUGGUGUAGGGGUAAAAUCCGUAGAUAUCACUAGGAAUACCGAAAGCGAAGGCGAUCUGCUGGGACAUUACUGACGCUGAGGCGUGAAAGCGUGGGGAGCAAACAGAAUUAGAAACCCCAGUAGUCC
Molecule: ribosomal RNA, 274 nt
Filed under: uncultured bacterium
Lineage: Bacteria
Description: partial 16S ribosomal RNA
Rfam family: Bacterial small subunit ribosomal RNA
Source: RNAcentral